RNAcentral lists this non-coding RNA (491 nucleotides) under Loxodonta africana (African savanna elephant). RNAcentral describes it as "Eukaryotic small subunit ribosomal RNA". It matches the Rfam family "Eukaryotic small subunit ribosomal RNA", at positions 51 to 430 of the family's 1831-position model. Lineage: Eukaryota; Metazoa; Chordata; Mammalia; Proboscidea; Elephantidae. The record is from Rfam by way of RNAcentral.
AUGCAUGUCUUAGUCAUCUAGUGCUAAAAAAAAAAAAAACUGUAACAGAAAUACCACAAAUGAACGGCUUUCACAAACAGAAGUUUAUUCUUUCACAGUCUAGUAGUCUAAUAGGCUAUAAUACCGAAUUCCGGGACCCAGCUCCAGGGGAAGGCUUUCUCUCUCUGUCAGCUGUGGGGGAAGGUCAUUAUCAUGUAUUUUCCCUGGUCUAGGAGCUUCUCAAAGCAAGGACCUCGGGUUCAAAGACACACUCUGCUUCAGGCACUACUUUCUUGGUGGUAUGAGGCUCCCUUCGGGCCCGAUAGGUGCUGGUGGCUUUGGUGACUCUGGAUAGCAUUGGACCAAUCACACAUCCCUCAUGUGCACUUCUGCCCUAUCAACUUUCGAUAGUAGUUGCCAUACCUACCAUGGUGAACACCGGUGAUGGGAAAUCAGGGUUCAUUCCAGAAAGGGAGCAUAAGAAACAGCUACCACAUCCAAGGAAGGCAGCA